Molecule: ribosomal RNA, 1050 nt
Filed under: Biston falcata satura
Lineage: Eukaryota; Metazoa; Arthropoda; Insecta; Lepidoptera; Geometridae
Description: partial 16S ribosomal RNA
Source: RNAcentral
AUUAAUAAUUAAUAUAUUUAAUAAAAAUAAUUUUAAUUUAAUAAGUAUUUUAAUGGGGGUUAAAGUAUUUUUUAAAGAAAAAAUUUUUAAAUUUAUAGUUAAUUAGUAUUGUGAAAGAAUUUUGAAAUAUUAUGAAAAAUAAAAUUUUUAGAAAGUAAUUUUUAUUUAUUGUAUCUUGUGUAUCAGAGUUUAUUAAAAAUUUUUAAUUUAUGAAUUAAUUUCUCGAAUUUAAAAGAGUUAAAUAAUUAUUAAAGUUAUUGUAGCAAAAUUAUUUUAAAUAAUUAUUUAGAAAUGAAAUGUUAAUCGUUUUUAAAUAUAUCUAGUUUUUAUAGAAAAAAAUUUAAUUUUAAAUUUAAAAAUUAUUUAAUUAAUUUAUUAAUUAAAUAGUUACUUAAAUUUUAUAAUUUAAGGGAUAAGCUUUAAAUUAAAUUUUUAUAAUAUUAAAUUUUUAUUUUGAAAAUUUUAUAAUUUAUAUUGUUAAUAAAUUUUAUUUUGUUAUAAAUAAUUUCAUUUUUUUUAAAAUUUAAAUUUUAUUUAAUUUUUUAUAUAAAAUUUAUUUAUAAUUAUAUAAAGUUAAUUAUAAUGAUAAAAUUAGUAUAUUAUUUAAUAUUAAAUUAAAAUUAAUUUUUGAUUAAUAAUUAAAUUAAUUAAAAGGAAUUCGGCAAAUAUUUAUUUUCACUUGUUUAUCAAAAACAUGUCUUUUUGUUAUUUAAUUUAAAGUCUAAUCUGCCCACUGAUUUAUAAAAAUUGAAGGGCUGCAGUAUAUUGACUGUACAAAGGUAGCAUAAUCAUUAGUCUCUUAAUUGGUGACUUGUAUGAAAGAUUGGAUGAAAAAUAUACUGUCUCUUAAUUAAUAUAUAGAAUUUAAUUUUUUAUUUAAAAAGUUAAAAUAACUUAAAAAGACGAGAAGACCCUAUAGAGUUUAAUAAAUUAUUUUAUGAAAGUUUUAUUUAUAUUUAUUAAUAAUUUUAUAAAUUUAUUUAUUUAGUUGGGGGGAUAAAAAAAUAAAUUUAACUUUUUUUAAGUAAUUUACCUGGAUAAGUGAUUAAU